CAGCACAGCACUUCCUCCUUUGCGGCCCCAGAGAGCUGGUGUGACACUGGCUUCAGUGAAACGGACAUCAGAAAAGAACCUCUACAAGAUGUAGACACUGCCAGGGUCCGUCCAAAGCAGCCAUUUCACUAUCUUUAGGAUGACUGUCCCUAAUGUUGUGCUCAACAAGCAUAGCUGGGGGACAGAUCCAGUUCUGACUGAGGGCUGAAGUGGAAAGUGUCCUCAUUCAAGUUCAAUGUGUCCCAAGAAACAAAACAAGACCUGGAACUCUGAGUGAGCACCAGGCCUCUGGGUCAGAAAAGUCAUGGUGCGUCUAGAUGUUGGACUCUCGCCAAUGUACACUCUGGACAGAGAAUGUUCAACCUGAAUAGAUGGGCCAGGAGAUCAAGGGCUUCCAAAGACCUACAAGGGCACACACACAGCAGAAUCGUCUUCAAAUGGCUAAAAACUGUUCAGCGGGCACUUGGACAUAAACUGCAAAACUCCGAAAACAUCAACGAGGUCAUCAAUGCCCGAGAACAAGGCUCUACUUACCCAUGCAAGCUCUGGCCUUUCAGCCACCUAAAACCUGCCAUCGGUUAGUGUAACCGUUAGCGCUCUCGUGUUGCCAACUGUCGGCAUUUGGUUUGCCAUAAGGGGUGUUUUUAUGCCAAAUGGGCUGGAUGCAUCUUCUGGAAGAUUCUACUCUUGCUCAGGAGCCUACAGAAGAAGAAAAAGCUCCGAGUUUCACUAGCUAAUGAGAGGGAAGCAUGGAAAUACAGAGUUGGCGUGGAUCUGGGGACCGAGUCCAACUUCUCAUUUACAGAUGGGAACACUGAGGUCCACGAUUGCACAGAAGGAAGGCAUCGUGUUUCU
Rattus norvegicus (Norway rat) is the source of this 855-nucleotide non-coding RNA. Lineage: Eukaryota; Metazoa; Chordata; Mammalia; Rodentia; Muridae. The record is from RefSeq and is a predicted model, not a curated record.